RNAcentral lists this ribosomal RNA (490 nucleotides) under uncultured bacterium. Its description in RNAcentral is "partial 16S ribosomal RNA". It matches the Rfam family "Bacterial small subunit ribosomal RNA", at positions 30 to 507 of the family's 1533-position model. The record is from RNAcentral.
AUUGAACGCUGGCGGCAGGCCUAACACAUGCAAGUCGAACGGUAACAGGAAGCAGCUUGCUGCUUUGCUGACGAGUGGCGGACGGGUGAGUAAUGUCUGGGAAACUGCCCGAUGGAGGGGGAUAACUACUGGAAACGGUAGCUAAUACCGCAUAACGUCGCAAGACCAAAGUGGGGGACUUUAGGGCCUCUUGCCUUCGGAUGUGCCCAGAUGGGAUUAGCUAGUAGGUGGGGUAACGGCUCACCUAGGCGACGAUCCCUAGCUGGUCUGAGAGGAUGACCAGCCACACUGGAACUGAGACACGGUCCAGACUCCUACGGGAGGCAGCAGUGGGGAAUAUUGCACAAUGGGCGCAAGCCUGAUGCAGCCAUGCCGCGUGUAUGAAGAAGGCCUUCGGGUUGUAAAGUACUUUCAGCGGGGAAGAAGGGAGUAAAGUUAAUACCUUUGCUCAUUGACGUUACCCGCAGAAGAAGCACCGGCUAACUCCGUG